AUUGAACGCUGGCGGCAGGCCUAACACAUGCAAGUCGAACGAGUGGCGGACGGGUGAGUAAUGUCUGGUAAACUGCCUGAUGGAGUGGGAUAACUACUGGAAACGGUAGCUAAUACCGCAUACCAUCAGAUGUGCCCAUAUGGGAUUAGCUUGUUGGUGGGGUAACGGCUCACCACGGAGACUAUCCAUAGCUGGUCUGAGAGGAUGACCAGCCACACUGGAACUGAGACACGGUCCAGACUCCUACGGGAGGCAGAAGUGGGGAAUAUUGCACAAUGGGCGAAAGCCUGAUGCAGCCAUGCCGCGUGUAUGAAGAAGGCCUUCGGGUUGUAAAGUACUUUCAGCAGGGAGGCGUUACCCGCAGAAGAAGCACCGGCUAACUCCGUGCCAGCAGCCGCGGUAAUAC
This 406-nucleotide ribosomal RNA is filed under the name uncultured bacterium. Its description in RNAcentral is "partial 16S ribosomal RNA". It matches the Rfam family "Bacterial small subunit ribosomal RNA", at positions 30 to 526 of the family's 1533-position model. The record is from RNAcentral.